This 498-nucleotide ribosomal RNA is filed under the name uncultured bacterium. RNAcentral describes it as "partial 16S ribosomal RNA". It matches the Rfam family "Bacterial small subunit ribosomal RNA", at positions 30 to 523 of the family's 1533-position model. The record is from RNAcentral.
AUUGAACGCUGGCGGCAUGCCUUACACAUGCAAGUCGAACGGUAACAGGUCUUCGGAUGCUGACGAGUGGCGAACGGGUGAGUAAUACAUCGGAACGUGCCUAGUAGUGGGGGAUAACUACUCGAAAGAGUGGCUAAUACCGCAUGAGAUCUACGGAUGAAAGCAGGGGAUCGCAAGACCUUGUGCUACUAGAGCGGCCGAUGGCAGAUUAGGUAGUUGGUGGGAUAAAAGCUUACCAAGCCGACGAGCUGUAGCUGGUCUUAGAGGACGAUCAGCCACACUGGGACGGAGACACCGACCAGACUCCUACGGGAGUCAGCAGUGGGGAAUUUUGGACAAUGGACGCAUGCCUGAUCCAGCAAUGCCGCGUGCAGGAUGAAGGCCUUCGUGUUGUAAACUUCUUUUGUACGGAACGAAACGCCCCGGGUUAAUACCCUGGGGUCAUGACGGUACCGUAAGAAUAAGCACCGGCUAACUACGUGCCAGCCGCCGCGGUAA